This 101-nucleotide microRNA precursor is filed under the name Marmota monax (woodchuck). Lineage: Eukaryota; Metazoa; Chordata; Mammalia; Rodentia; Sciuridae. The record is from RNAcentral.
AUAAUAAUCCCCUGGGGAUCUUGUUAAACUGAUUCUGAUUCAAUAGGUCUGGGAUGGGGCCCUGGUUCUGCAGUUCUAAUAAGCUCCCAGGUGAUGCUGAU